CCUACGGGAGGCAGCAGUGAGGAAUAUUGGUCAAUGGACGAGAGUCUGAACCAGCCAAGUAGCGUGAAGGAUGACUGCCCUAUGGGUUGUAAACUUCUUUUAUAUGGGAAUAAAACGUUCCACGUGUGGGAUUUUGUAUGUACCAUAUGAAUAAGGAUCGGCUAACUCCGUGCCAGCAGCCGCGGUAAUACGGAGGAUCCGAGCGUUAACCGGAUUUAUUGGGUUUAAAGGGAGCGUAGGUGGAUUGUUAAGUCAGUUGUGAAAGUUUGCGGCUCAACCGUAAAAUUGCAGUUGAAACUGGCAGUCUUGAGUACAGUAGAGGUGGGCGGAAUUCGUGGUGUAGCGGUGAAAUGCUUAGAUAUCACGAAGAACUCCGAUUGCGAAGGCAGUUCACUGGACUGCAACUGACACUGAGGCUCGAAAGUGUGGGUAUCAAACAGGAUUAGAUACCCUAGUAGUC
This 460-nucleotide ribosomal RNA is filed under the name uncultured bacterium. RNAcentral's name for it is "partial 16S ribosomal RNA". It matches the Rfam family "Bacterial small subunit ribosomal RNA", at positions 338 to 795 of the family's 1533-position model. The record is from RNAcentral.